GGGCCCGCACAAGCGGUGGAGCAUGUGGUUCAAUUCGAUGCAACGCGAAGAACCUUACCUGGGCUUGACAUUCUCUUGACAGCCGUAGAGAUACGGUUUUCCCGCAAGGGACAGGAGAACAGGUGCUGCAUGGCUGUCGUCAGCUCGUGUCGUGAGAUGUUGGCUUAAGUGCCGCAACGAGCGCAACCCGUGUCCAUAGUUACCAGCGGUUCGGCCGGGAACUCUAUGGAGACCGCCGGUGAUAAACCGGAGGAAGGUGCGGAUGACGUCAAGUCCUCAUGGCCUUUAUGUCCAGGGCUACACACGUGCUACAAUGGUUGGUACAGCGGGAUGCUACCUCGCGAGAGUCAGCAAAUCCUUUAAAACCAACCCCAGUUCGGAUUGUAGUCUGCAACUCGACUACAUGAAGUUGGAAUCGCUAGUAAUCGCGGAUCAGCUAUGCCGCGGUGAAUACGUUCUCGGGCCUU
Molecule: ribosomal RNA, 467 nt
Filed under: uncultured bacterium
Lineage: Bacteria
Description: bacterial SSU rRNA
Rfam family: Bacterial small subunit ribosomal RNA
Source: RNAcentral